Molecule: ribosomal RNA, 460 nt
Filed under: uncultured bacterium
Lineage: Bacteria
Description: partial 16S ribosomal RNA
Rfam family: Bacterial small subunit ribosomal RNA
Source: RNAcentral
CCUACGGGAGGUAGCAGUGAGGAAUAUUGGUCAAUGGCCGGAAUCCUGAACCAGCCAUGCCGCGUGCAGGACGACGGCUCUACGGGUUGUAAACUUCUUUUGUACGGGAGCAAAAUGCCUUACGUGUAGGGUUUUGAGAGUACUUUACGAAAAAGCAUCGGCUAACUCCGUGCCAGCAGCCGCGGUAAUACGGAGGAUCCGAGCGUUAUCCGGAUUUAUUGGGUUUAAAGGGUGCGUAGGCUGGUUGUUAAGUUAACGGUGAAAUUCCGAUGGUCAACAUCGGGGCGGACGCUAAUACUGUAGGACUAGAGAUAGGAAGAAGCAUGCGGAAUGUGUAGUGUAGCGGUGAAAUGCAUAGAUAUUACACAGAACACCGAUUGCGAAGGCAGCUUGCCAGGGCGGAUCUGACACUGAUGCACGAAAGCGUGGGGAUCGAACAGGAUUAGAUACCCGAGUAGUC